AGAACGAACGUUGGCGGCGUGGAUUAGGCAUGCAAGUCGAACGAAUCCCGGUAGCAAUAUCGGGGGAAGUGGCGAAAGGGGCAGUAAGGCGUGGAUAACCUACCCUGGGGACUGGGAUAGCCUUCCUAACGGAAGGGUAAUACUGGGCGAUCUGACGGGACGACAUCUUCCUGUCAGGAAAUGAAUUUCGCCUCGGGAGGGGUCCACGUGCUAUUAGCUUGUUGGCGGGGUAACGGUCCACCAAGGCUAAGACGGGUAGCUGGUCUGAGAGGACGACCAGCCACACUGGAACUGAGACACGGUCCAGACACCUACGGGUGGCAGCAGUCGAGAAUUUUUCACAAUGGGCGCAAGCCUGAUGGAGCGACGCCGCGUGGGGGAUGAAUGGCUUCGGCCCGUAAACCCCUGUCAUUUGCGAUCAACCGUUGUUGUUUAAGAGAUGACAACCUGAUAGUGGCGAAAGAGGAAGGGACGGCUAACUCUGUGCCAGCAGCCGCGGUAAUACAGAGGUCCCAAGCGUUGUUCGGAUUCACUGGGCGUAAAGGGUGCGUAGGUGGCGGGGUAAGUCGGAUGUGAAAUCUCCGAGCUCAACUCGGAAAUGGCAUUGGAAACUGCUCUGCUCGAGGGUUGGAGGGGGGACUGGAAUACUUGGUGUAGCAGUGAAAUGCGUAGAUAUCAAGUGGAACACCAGUGGCGAAGGCGAGUCCCUGGACAACUCCUGACACUGAGGCACGAAAGCUAGGGGAGCAAACGGGAUUAGAUACCCCGGUAGUCCUGGCCCUAAACGGUGCACGUUUGCUGUAAGUGGAAUCGACCCCACUUGUGGCGUAGUUAACACGAUAAACGUGCCGCCUGGGAAGUACGGCC
Molecule: ribosomal RNA, 867 nt
Filed under: uncultured soil bacterium
Lineage: Bacteria
Description: bacterial SSU rRNA
Rfam family: Bacterial small subunit ribosomal RNA
Source: RNAcentral